Molecule: unclassified non-coding RNA, 167 nt
Filed under: uncultured Fusarium
Lineage: Eukaryota; Fungi; Ascomycota; Sordariomycetes; Hypocreales; Nectriaceae
Description: sequence contains ITS1
Source: RNAcentral
CCGAGUUUACAACUCCCAAACCCCUGUGAACAUACCUUAAUGUUGCCUCGGCGGAUCAGCCCGCGCCCGGUAAAACGGGACGGCCCGCCAGAGGAUCCAAACUCUUUCUGUAGUCCCCUCGCGGACGUUAUUUCUUACAGCUCUGAGCAAAAAUUCAAAAUGAAUCA